GAUGAACGCUGGCGGCGUGCUUAACACAUGCAAGUCGAACGAGAAGUGAAGACGGAAACCUUCGGGCGGAAGGCUUUAUUUCGAGUGGCGGACGGGUGAGUAACGCGUGGGUAACCUGCCUCAUACAGGGGGAUAACAGUUGGAAACGACUGUUAAUACCGCAUAAGACCACAGCACCGCAUGGUGCGGGGGUAAAAACUCCGGUGGUAUGAGAUGGACCCGCGUUCGAUUAGCCAGUUGGCGGGGUAACGGCCCACCAAAGCGACGAUCGAUAGCCGAUCUGAGAGGAUGACCGGCCACAUUGGGACUGAGACACGGCCCAAACUCCUACGGGAGGCAGCAGUGGGGAAUAUUGCACAAUGGGGGAAACCCUGAUGCAGCGACGCCGCGCGAGUGAAGAAGUAUUUCGGUAUGUAAAGCUCUAUCAGCAGGGAAGAAAAUGACGGUACCUGAGUAAGAAGCCCCGGCUAACUACGUG
Molecule: ribosomal RNA, 478 nt
Filed under: uncultured bacterium
Lineage: Bacteria
Description: partial 16S ribosomal RNA
Rfam family: Bacterial small subunit ribosomal RNA
Source: RNAcentral